AGAAUCAACGCUGGCGGCGUGCCUAACACAUGCAAGUCGAACGAGAAAAUGGUAGCAAUACCAUGAGUAAAGUGGCGCACGGGUGAGUAACACGUGACUAACCUACCCUUGAGUGGGGGAUAACUGAGGGAAACCUUAGCUAAUACCGCAUAAUACCCACGGGUCAAAGGAGCAAUUCGCUCGAGGAGGGGGUCGCGGCCGAUUAGUUAGUUGGCGGGGUAAUGGCCCACCAAGACGAUGAUCGGUAUCCGGCCUGAGAGGGCGCGACGGAACGACGACUGGAACGUGAAACACGGUCCAGACUCCUACGGGAGGCAGCAGUGGGGAAUUUUGCGCAAUGGGGGAAACCCUGACGCAGCAACGCCGCGUGGAGGAUGAAGUCCUUCGGGACGUAAACUCCUUUCGAUCGGGACGAUUAUGACGGUACCGGAAGAAGAAGCCCCGGCUAACUACGUGCCAGCAGCCGC
This 467-nucleotide ribosomal RNA is filed under the name uncultured bacterium. RNAcentral describes it as "SSU rRNA". It matches the Rfam family "Bacterial small subunit ribosomal RNA", at positions 26 to 518 of the family's 1533-position model. The record is from RNAcentral.